GACGAACGCUGGCGGCGUGCUUAACGCAUGCAAGUCGAACGGAAAUGCCCUGCUUUUGUGGGGUGCUCGAGUGGCGAACGGGUGAGUAACCCGUGAGUAACCUGCCCUUGACUUUGGGAUAACUUCAGGAAACUGGGGCUAAUACCGGGUAGGAGCUCUUGCUGCAUGGUGGGGCGGGGACAGUUUCGGCGGUUGGGGAUGGACUCGCGGCUCAUCAGCUUGUUGGUGGGGUAGUGGCUUACCAAGGCUUUGACGGGUAGCCGGCCUGAGAGGGUGACCGGCCACAUUGGGACUGAGAUACGGCCCAGACUCCUACGGGAGGCAGCAGUGGGGAAUAUUGCACAAUGGGCGGAAGCCUGAUGCAGCAACGCCGCGUGCGGGAUGACGGCCUUCGGGUUGUAAACCGCUUUCGCCUGUGACGAAGCGUGAGUGACGGUAAUGGGUAAAGAAGCACCGGCUAACUACGUG
This 468-nucleotide ribosomal RNA is filed under the name uncultured bacterium. Its description in RNAcentral is "partial 16S ribosomal RNA". It matches the Rfam family "Bacterial small subunit ribosomal RNA", at positions 28 to 507 of the family's 1533-position model. The record is from RNAcentral.